RNAcentral lists this ribosomal RNA (253 nucleotides) under uncultured bacterium. Its description in RNAcentral is "partial 16S ribosomal RNA". It matches the Rfam family "Bacterial small subunit ribosomal RNA", at positions 524 to 776 of the family's 1533-position model. The record is from RNAcentral.
UACGUAGGUGGCAAGCGUUGUCCGGAAUUAUUGGGCGUAAAGCGCGCGCAGGCGGUCUUUUAAGUCUGAUGUGAAAGCCCACGGCUCAACCGUGGAGGGUCAUUGGAAACUGGAGGACUUGAGUACAGAAGAGGAAAGUGGAAUUCCACGUGUAGCGGUGAAAUGCGUAGAGAUGUGGAGGAACACCAGUGGCGAAGGCGACUUUCUGGUCUGUAACUGACGCUGAGGCGCGAAAGCGUGGGGAGCAAACAGG